AAGGGCCAGAUCAAGUAAGUCUGAAAAGUCCGAAAGGAGCGCCCUGGCAGGAAGGAGAAAGCAAGCGAGCGGAUACCCUGCGGGGUAUGGAGCUGAUUUUGCAUGAUGAUGCCAACGUGCGGACGCUGCUUGCAUGGCGGGCAGAUUGUGCCAAACUCCCGUUUCAUGCACGGAUGGCAAAGCGGAUAGACGGGCACGCUACAAAAAUGCCGUACAUCAUGCCAACCAUUGUCGCCCGAAUA
This 242-nucleotide non-coding RNA is filed under the name unclassified sequences. Its description in RNAcentral is "RT-2 RNA". It matches the Rfam family "RT-2 RNA". Rfam says of the family: Coriobacteriales (Actinobacteria), Clostridiales (Firmicutes). Downstream gene The record is from Rfam by way of RNAcentral.